GAUAGCAGAGUGAGAGGGAGAUCGGAGACCGAUUCUCCGGUGGUUCAGCGUCGGUGAACUAGAGACGGCUUCCGGCCAUUUAGAGGUCCCACUGCCGGCGGACCCGUGAGCUAAACCCAUCAGACCUGGGAGGAGCUCCGAUCGUGAAACCCAUAGAAAACCCGUAACCGAAUGACCCAUGGAGAUCCCACGAGAGGAAGACCCGAUCCUCCAUGAUCGGUGGCCAGAACCGAAAUCCGGCGAGGCAUAGCCGACUUCCGGCGGUUUGAAGGAUGAUUUCUGGAAGACUUCUCUGUGAUUGAAUAGAGAUCCUCAAGGUUCAGAAGAUAAUGGAUGGGAUAAUCUAUUAGCUUAAGAGUUCUAAAGCUAAUGUAGUUAGGCUUUAAUGCUUUGUAAUUAUCAAUGUUUGUAUUAUUUUGUAUGUAACAUGUUUAGAGAUUUACUUGUAUUUAGUAGACUUUUCAUAUAUGCUUUCGUGUCAUUUGUGACACAUAUUUCGUUGUAAUGAGUGUAAAUGACUUUUAAUAAAUGUUUAGAGGAAUUUCAGUCA
This is a long non-coding RNA of Alnus glutinosa, 550 nucleotides long. RefSeq lists it as uncharacterized. The record is from RefSeq and is a predicted model, not a curated record. The transcript is spliced from 2 exons. NCBI's taxonomy places the organism in Eukaryota, Viridiplantae, Streptophyta, Magnoliopsida, Fagales, Betulaceae.